AAGAAUAAUGUCCUUCAAAAUUACUAGUUAUUGCAAAGACCAUAUGUUUAGAUUAACACCCAUGAUCUCCAUAUCGCAUUCGGUCGUACUUAAUGAAACCUAGAAAUGAUGAUCUUCUCUAGUUGAUGUUGUUUUUCGUCACCAGCUUGUCACUUAUUGAAACCAAGGAUUACAAUAUCGAAUGCUUUGUGGCUAAUUACUCUUGACUUUGUCAAGCCUGAGUGACUAUUUAGUUAAUUUCAUAAUUGAUCACGAAUGAAACCUAGAAAUGAUGAUCUUCUCUAGUUGAUGUUGUUUUUCGUCACCAGCUUGUCACUUUUUGAAACCAAGGAUUACAAUAUCGAAUGCUUUGUGGCUAAUUACUCUUGACUUUGUCAAGCCUGAGUGACUAAUUGAUCACGAAGCAAUAAUGUCUUUGAAAAUGGGGUUUGAAUAAUGUAUUCUACUGUUCUUUUAAUGUAGGG
This 464-nucleotide long non-coding RNA is filed under the name Gossypium raimondii (Peruvian cotton). RNAcentral describes it as "long non-coding RNA (GRAI_LNC007046)". Lineage: Eukaryota; Viridiplantae; Streptophyta; Magnoliopsida; Malvales; Malvaceae. The record is from RNAcentral.